GAUGCUUUGGGUAGCUUUUUUUUUUCUAAAGCAUUUUUGUAAAGCAAUCAUGCUUUAGUUUUUUUUUUCUUAAAUUGCGCAUCCGCACGGAUAAUAUGUUUUAUUUUUUUAUAAAUUGUUUAAUGACAUUUCUAAUUGUAUAGGUUAUUUGGAUAUUUUUAAGUUUCUACACAUCAUAACCGAUCCUCCACCUCUCAAAAAUUAUAAUAUCCAUAUGAAGCCUAAUUUUUAAACCCAAAUAUCAUGAUAUCUGAAAGAAUUGAUUCGUACCCUAACGGAUACCUAAAUACCUAUGCCUAACUGACUAUGUAAACAAAUAAAAAAUAUUUGUUAGUGGUUUUGAAUUCUUGUCACAAAUAGAACAGUUGCAUUCAAAUAUGUAGAAUUAUUAUGGUUAAGAUGUAAAAUAAAUUAUAUCAAAUUAUUAAGAUAAAGACAAUUAAUGAAGUAGUUAGGAAAAAUAUAAAAGAUGUAAUAAAACAUUUAAAAUAGAGAAACUUUGUUUUACACUUUUAUAAUAAAUGUUGUCAAAUUAUUUGGAAAAUACAAUAAAUAAAGUGGUCAAAAUGAGGAAUAUGUCAAAAUCACUUAAAAACGGUAAAUAUUAUUUUUUAAUUCAGUUUUAAUAGAAUAGAAGUUACAUCAAAAAUUUAGAAAAAAGAAUGUUAGCUCUCAAAAUCAAUUUUCUUCUACAGUUUUUAUUAGGUGCUUUUAAAAUAAAUCUACAGAAAAAAAAAUCAAGUCAAAGCAAAAAAUUCACAUCCUAUUUUCUAAAGCAGAAAAACUAAAGGUACAACACAAGCCAAUUAACCUGAUCUAUUUCUCAACUUUUGUUUUGAAGGAGAAAAGAAACAGAAUGAUGAUUUUGAUUGCACAGCCGAAAAGAAUGGAUUACAAUUAGGCAUAAACACACAUCGGAUAUUAAAAAUACACUACAAAAAAAGUCUACAUUGAUAGCACAUUGUUAUAGCACGUUUUACUGAACUGCUGUCGUAGAUGAUUUAAAUAUUUCCGUAUUAUAUUAUAGCAUUAGAUAAACGCUAUGGUAGAGUGAAACCUAAAUUAACACUUAAUUAAUGUUAUUUUAAAAAAUAAGUGUGCAGGAAUAUAAAGUCACAGAUACCGCCAACACUUAGCGAAAAAUUAGAUUUAAGCGCCAAAGAUAUUUUUUAAGCGGCUUCAACAAUGCUAUCAAAGACAUAUAAUAGCAUUUUUAUAAAGCUAAGCGGCUUCAACAAUGCUAUCAAAGACAUAUAAUGUUGAUAUUAAUCUAAUAUUUUUAAACUUAAACAUCAAUUGAUAAAAUAAAUAUCAGUUUAUUAUGUUCAAAAAAUAAAAAAUUUAGACUUAACUAUAAACUACAAAAUAUUAAUUUUGAAAUAAGAUAUAACUAAUAAAAAUCACUUACAAAACAAAUUAUCAAAUAUGGAAAGACAAAACAAAAAUAAAAACAAAAUUGUCUGGCCAAUCAGAUUAAAAUACAUGGAUCACACUUUUGAACCGUUGGAUUAACUUAGAUCUAAAGGUUAAGAUUUAUUCCUUUUAAUUUUUUUUUUCUCCUCUCGCUCUCUCUCUCAACUCCACGACACAGAUCUGGCCUUCAUGUUUUUCUCCUUCAUUCUCAUCUCUCCCAUGCCUCUCCAAGCUUACUGUUUCUCUCAUCUCUCUUAUCUCUCUCCACGCCUCUCUCAUCUCUCCCAUCUCUCUCCCACCGCGUCUCCUCCUCGUCUCACCACCACCAUGGUCGCCCUCCCACCACCACCACGAUAUUUGGGGAGGCAAGGUUCAUGGUGGCUGGAGGAGGCAAGGUCCAUGGCGGCUUGAGGAUGGAAGUCUCGUGGCGGCUGGAGGAGGCAAGGCUCUUGGCUGUUCGAAGAGGGGCAAUGCUAUGGAGGAGGCGGCUGCAGUCUUUUUCUUUUUUCUUUUAGGUUUAGAUUUUUGUUUAGGUUUAGAUUUGGUUUAGUGUUACCCGGGUUAGAGAAAUUUUAGUGGUCUGAGUUUAUCUUAUAAUUUCUGGUUAGUUUUGUAAACCGGGAUUAAUUUGUAAACCAAUUUUAACAUAUAAAUAAAAUUUAUUUUAAUUUCAA
Molecule: long non-coding RNA, 2087 nt
Organism: Brassica napus (rape)
Lineage: Eukaryota; Viridiplantae; Streptophyta; Magnoliopsida; Brassicales; Brassicaceae
Exons: 2
Source: RefSeq, a predicted model, not a curated record